UCCCUAGUGGUCCAGUGAUUAGGACUCUGCACUUUCACUGCCAAUGGCCUAGGUUCGAUCCCUGGUAGGGGAA
RNAcentral lists this transfer RNA (73 nucleotides) under Ovis aries (sheep). It matches the Rfam family "tRNA". Rfam says of the family: Transfer RNA (tRNA) molecules are approximately 80 nucleotides in length. Their secondary structure includes four short double-helical elements and three loops (D, anti-codon, and T loops). The record is from Rfam by way of RNAcentral. Lineage: Eukaryota; Metazoa; Chordata; Mammalia; Artiodactyla; Bovidae.